This 334-nucleotide unclassified non-coding RNA is filed under the name soil metagenome. RNAcentral describes it as "partial contains 5.8S ribosomal RNA, internal transcribed spacer 2, and large subunit ribosomal RNA". The stretch from base 1 to 120 matches the Rfam family "5.8S ribosomal RNA", at positions 35 to 154 of the family's 154-position model. The record is from RNAcentral.
GAUGAAGAACGUAGCGAAAUGCGAUAAGUAAUGUGAAUUGCAGAAUUCAGUGAAUCAUCGAAUCUUUGAACGCACAUUGCGCCCAUUAGUAUUCUAGUGAGCAUGCCUGUUCGAGCGUCAUUUCAACCCUUAAGCCUAGCUUAGUAUUGGGAAUCGACUUUACUGUCGUUCCUCAAAUUCAACGGCGGAUUUAUAGCAAUCUCUGAACGUAGUAAUUUUUUUUCUCGUUUUUGAAAUACUAUAAACCUCAGCCGCUAAACCCCCAAUUUCUUAUGGUUGACCUCGGAUCAGGUAGGAAUACCCGCUGAACUUAAGCAUAUCAAUAAGCGGAGGA